RNAcentral lists this ribosomal RNA (253 nucleotides) under uncultured prokaryote. RNAcentral's name for it is "partial 16S ribosomal RNA". It matches the Rfam family "Bacterial small subunit ribosomal RNA", at positions 524 to 776 of the family's 1533-position model. The record is from RNAcentral.
UACGUAGGGGGCAAGCGUUAUCCGGAUUUACUGGGCGUAAAGCGGGUGUAGGCGGCCUGUCAAGUCAGAUGUGAAAUCUCCUGGCUCAACUAGGAGGGUGCAUUUGAUACUGAUGGGCUAGAGUGCAGCAGAAGAAGAUGGAAUUCCCGGUGUAGUGGUGAAAUGCGUAGAUAUCGGGAAGAACACUAGUGGCGAAGGCGGUCUUCCGGGCUGUAACUGACGCUGAGACCCGAAGGCGUGGGGAGCAAACAGG